CCCGCACAAGCAGCGGAGCGUGUGGUUUAAUUCGAUGCUACACGAAGAACCUUUACCAGGGUUUGACAUGCAAGUGGUAGGAACCGAAAGGUGACCGACCCUUCGGGAGCUUGCACAGGUGCUGCAUGGCUGUCGUCAGCUCGUGUCGUGAGAUGUUCGGUUAAGUCCGCUAACGAGCGCAACCCUCGCUGUGUGUUAUAUGUGUCACACGGGACUGCCGGUCUUAAGCCGGAGGAAGGUGGGGAUGAUGUCAAGUCAGCAUGGCCUUUAUAUCCUGGGCUACACACACGCUACAAUGGCCAGCACAGUAGGUUGCUAAGCCGCGAGGUGGAGCCAAUCCUGAAAGCAGGCCUCAGUUCAGAUUGCAGUCUGCAACUCGACUGCAUGAAGCCGGAGUUGCUAGUAACCGCAGGUCAGCAAUACUGCGGUGAAUACGUUCCCGGGUCUU
RNAcentral lists this ribosomal RNA (448 nucleotides) under uncultured Leptolinea sp. RNAcentral describes it as "bacterial SSU rRNA". It matches the Rfam family "Bacterial small subunit ribosomal RNA", at positions 920 to 1382 of the family's 1533-position model. Lineage: Bacteria; Bacillati; Chloroflexota; Anaerolineae; Anaerolineales; Anaerolineaceae. The record is from RNAcentral.